UACGGAGGGUGCAAGCGUUAUCCGGAUUUACUGGGUUUAAAGGGUGCGUAGGCGGGUCUUUAAGUCAGUGGUGAAAACUUCGAGCUCAACUCGAAAACUGCCAUUGAUACUAUUGAUCUUGAAUUUAGUUGAGGUUGGCGGAAUGUGUCGUGUAGCGGUGAAAUGCUUAGAUAUGACACAGAACACCGAUUGCGAAGGCAGCUGGCUAAACUAAAAUUGACGCUGAGGCACGAAAGUGUGGGGAUCAAACAGG
Molecule: ribosomal RNA, 253 nt
Filed under: uncultured bacterium
Lineage: Bacteria
Description: partial 16S ribosomal RNA
Rfam family: Bacterial small subunit ribosomal RNA
Source: RNAcentral